GACGAACGCUGGCGGCGUGCUUAACACAUGCAAGUCGAACGGUAAGGCCCUUCGGGGUACACGAGUGGCGAACGGGUGAGUAACACGUGGGUGAUCUGCCCUGCACUUCGGGAUAAGCCUGGGAAACUGGGUCUAAUACCGGCUAGGACUCCUGGCUUCAUGGUUGGGGGUGGAAAGCUUUUGCGGUGUGGGAAGGGCCCGCGGCCUAUCAGCUUGUUGGUGGGGUAAUGGCCUACCAAGGCGACGACGGGUAGCCGGCCUGAGGGGGUGACCGGUCACACUGGGACUGAGAUACGGCCCAGACUCCUACGGGAGGCAGCAGUGGGGAAUAUUGCACAAUGGGCGCAAGCCUGAUGCAGCGACGCCGCGUGAGGGAUGACGGCCUUCGGGUUGUAAACCUCUUUCAGCUAUGACGAAGCGCAAGUGACGGUAGUAGCAGAAGAAGGACCGGCCAACUACGUGCCAGCCGCCGCGGUAA
RNAcentral lists this ribosomal RNA (478 nucleotides) under uncultured bacterium. Its description in RNAcentral is "partial 16S ribosomal RNA". It matches the Rfam family "Bacterial small subunit ribosomal RNA", at positions 28 to 523 of the family's 1533-position model. The record is from RNAcentral.